RNAcentral lists this ribosomal RNA (2919 nucleotides) under Staphylococcus aureus. Its description in RNAcentral is "bacterial LSU rRNA". It matches the Rfam family "Bacterial large subunit ribosomal RNA". Lineage: Bacteria; Bacillati; Bacillota; Bacilli; Caryophanales; Staphylococcaceae. The record is from RNAcentral.
UAAGUUAUUAAGGGCGCACGGUGGAUGCCUUGGCACUAGAAGCCGAUGAAGGACGUUACUAACGACGAUAUGCUUUGGGGAGCUGUAAGUAAGCUUUGAUCCAGAGAUUUCCGAAUGGGGAAACCCAGCAUGAGUUAUGUCAUGUUAUCGAUAUGUGAAUACAUAGCAUAUCAGAAGGCACACCCGGAGAACUGAAACAUCUUAGUACCCGGAGGAAGAGAAAGAAAAUUCGAUUCCCUUAGUAGCGGCGAGCGAAAUGGGAAGAGCCCAAACCAACAAGCUUGCUUGUUGGGGUUGUAGGACACUCUAUACGGAGUUACAAAGGACGACAUUAGACGAAUCAUCUGGAAAGAUGAAUCAAAGAAGGUAAUAAUCCUGUAGUCGAAAAUGUUGUCUCUCUUGAGUGGAUCCUGAGUACGACGGAGCACGUGAAAUUCCGUCGGAAUCUGGGAGGACCAUCUCCUAAGGCUAAAUACUCUCUAGUGACCGAUAGUGAACCAGUACCGUGAGGGAAAGGUGAAAAGCACCCCGGAAGGGGAGUGAAAUAGAACCUGAAACCGUGUGCUUACAAGUAGUCAGAGCCCGUUAAUGGGUGAUGGCGUGCCUUUUGUAGAAUGAACCGGCGAGUUACGAUUUGAUGCAAGGUUAAGCAGUAAAUGUGGAGCCGUAGCGAAAGCGAGUCUGAAUAGGGCGUUUAGUAUUUGGUCGUAGACCCGAAACCAGGUGAUCUACCCUUGGUCAGGUUGAAGUUCAGGUAACACUGAAUGGAGGACCGAACCGACUUACGUUGAAAAGUGAGCGGAUGAACUGAGGGUAGCGGAGAAAUUCCAAUCGAACCUGGAGAUAGCUGGUUCUCUCCGAAAUAGCUUUAGGGCUAGCCUCAAGUGAUGAUUAUUGGAGGUAGAGCACUGUUUGGACGAGGGGCCCCUCUCGGGUUACCGAAUUCAGACAAACUCCGAAUGCCAAUUAAUUUAACUUGGGAGUCAGAACAUGGGUGAUAAGGUCCGUGUUCGAAAGGGAAACAGCCCAGACCACCAGCUAAGGUCCCAAAAUAUAUGUUAAGUGGAAAAGGAUGUGGCGUUGCCCAGACAACUAGGAUGUUGGCUUAGAAGCAGCCAUCAUUUAAAGAGUGCGUAAUAGCUCACUAGUCGAGUGACACUGCGCCGAAAAUGUACCGGGGCUAAACAUAUUACCGAAGCUGUGGAUUGUCCUUUGGACAAUGGUAGGAGAGCGUUCUAAGGGCGUUGAAGCAUGAUCGUAAGGACAUGUGGAGCGCUUAGAAGUGAGAAUGCCGGUGUGAGUAGCGAAAGACGGGUGAGAAUCCCGUCCACCGAUUGACUAAGGUUUCCAGAGGAAGGCUCGUCCGCUCUGGGUUAGUCGGGUCCUAAGCUGAGGCCGACAGGCGUAGGCGAUGGAUAACAGGUUGAUAUUCCUGUACCACCUAUAAUCGUUUUAAUCGAUGGGGGGACGCAGUAGGAUAGGCGAAGCGUGCGAUUGGAUUGCACGUCUAAGCAGUAAGGCUGAGUAUUAGGCAAAUCCGGUACUCGUUAAGGCUGAGCUGUGAUGGGGAGAAGACAUUGUGUCUUCGAGUCGUUGAUUUCACACUGCCGAGAAAAGCCUCUAGAUAGAAAAUAGGUGCCCGUACCGCAAACCGACACAGGUAGUCAAGAUGAGAAUUCUAAGGUGAGCGAGCGAACUCUCGUUAAGGAACUCGGCAAAAUGACCCCGUAACUUCGGGAGAAGGGGUGCUCUUUAGGGUUAACGCCCAGAAGAGCCGCAGUGAAUAGGCCCAAGCGACUGUUUAUCAAAAACACAGGUCUCUGCUAAACCGUAAGGUGAUGUAUAGGGGCUGACGCCUGCCCGGUGCUGGAAGGUUAAGAGGAGUGGUUAGCUUCUGCGAAGCUACGAAUCGAAGCCCCAGUAAACGGCGGCCGUAACUAUAACGGUCCUAAGGUAGCGAAAUUCCUUGUCGGGUAAGUUCCGACCCGCACGAAAGGCGUAACGAUUUGGGCACUGUCUCAACGAGAGACUCGGUGAAAUCAUAGUACCUGUGAAGAUGCAGGUUACCCGCGACAGGACGGAAAGACCCCGUGGAGCUUUACUGUAGCCUGAUAUUGAAAUUCGGCACAGCUUGUACAGGAUAGGUAGGAGCCUUUGAAACGUGAGCGCUAGCUUACGUGGAGGCGCUGGUGGGAUACUACCCUAGCUGUGUUGGCUUUCUAACCCGCACCACUUAUCGUGGUGGGAGACAGUGUCAGGCGGGCAGUUUGACUGGGGCGGUCGCCUCCUAAAAGGUAACGGAGGCGCUCAAAGGUUCCCUCAGAAUGGUUGGAAAUCAUUCAUAGAGUGUAAAGGCAUAAGGGAGCUUGACUGCGAGACCUACAAGUCGAGCAGGGUCGAAAGACGGACUUAGUGAUCCGGUGGUUCCGCAUGGAAGGGCCAUCGCUCAACGGAUAAAAGCUACCCCGGGGAUAACAGGCUUAUCUCCCCCAAGAGUUCACAUCGACGGGGAGGUUUGGCACCUCGAUGUCGGCUCAUCGCAUCCUGGGGCUGUAGUCGGUCCCAAGGGUUGGGCUGUUCGCCCAUUAAAGCGGUACGCGAGCUGGGUUCAGAACGUCGUGAGACAGUUCGGUCCCUAUCCGUCGUGGGCGUAGGAAAUUUGAGAGGAGCUGUCCUUAGUACGAGAGGACCGGGAUGGACAUACCUCUGGUGUACCAGUUGUCGUGCCAACGGCAUAGCUGGGUAGCUAUGUGUGGACGGGAUAAGUGCUGAAAGCAUCUAAGCAUGAAGCCCCCCUCAAGAUGAGAUUUCCCAACUUCGGUUAUAAGAUCCCUCAAAGAUGAUGAGGUUAAUAGGUUCGAGGUGGAAGCAUGGUGACAUGUGGAGCUGACGAAUACUAAUCGAUCGAAGACUUAAUCA